AUUAUAUUCAUUUAAUUUCAGUUAAGAGAAAAUGAUUAAUACAAAGGGAUUAGGGUUACGUGAACAUUGGAAUUUCAUCCUUCUUCUUCACGUGAGCGGCGAACGGCGGCACAUCAACAACCUUCUCCGAGCUCUUUUCUCCGAUCAACCUCUCUGGCUCUCUCUCUCGAUUUCACUCUCAUGUUGUUCGUCUCCGAUUCUCUCUCGAAUAUCUCGCAUCUCAGUGAUACGUCUCGUUUCCUAAUCUAAUCGGAGAAGCUCCGAUAGAGAUUCCAAGACGUUGGUGACGAGAGAUUAAGGUCAUCAUACGCGUUUCCUCCAUCCGAUUCAUGCUUCUUCUUUGGAUUAUUGCUGAACUUUAUGGAUCGUUGUUGUUGGAUGCGAGACCUGAUGCCGGUUGAUGAUGAAGUUGCGUGAAGCUCGUGAAGAUGAAGCUUCCAUGAACUUGAUGUGUGAAGAGCGUGAAGCGUGACCUUAUGCCGCGGUGCUGAAGACGUUGCAGAGAAUAUGUGAAGAGUGAUUGAAUUGCUGUCGAAGAUGAAGAUUCACGAGAUCGCAUUGAUGGAGGAGAUUCUGCCGAGAAGGUUGAGAUUGAAGAAUCAAAGAUGAUGAAGAACGAGGGAGCUCUCGUUGCUAUUCUCAGUGAUGAAGAUCACGGAUUUGGUUCAAGAUCCAGAGAAAAGUGCAAUUCGGUUAGAGGAUGAAGAUGAGGAUUGUUGAAUUCUCCAGGUGAUUGAUGAAGAGUUUGUGAUUUGUUGAAGAUUGGAGAGUAACCGAGAGCGAGGACAAGUUUGUUACGGUUUCUCUUCCAAUUUCUGUUACCAGGUUGAAUCAAGAGAGAAAGAAUUGAAGAGAAUCGUGAAUGUGAAGAUGAUGAAGAUAGCAGGAGUGAUGAUGAACGAUGAAGGUUCUUGAAGAGGCUCAAAGUUUGUUACGUUUAGGUUAUGAAGUCUUUUUCGGUUUUUUUUUGUUAUGUUGUGUGGUGAAUGGACGAGUUGUAGUGAGUUAGAUCCAGUAACUUCUGCAUAACUUUGGUUUUU
This is a long non-coding RNA of Vicia villosa (hairy vetch), 1040 nucleotides long. RefSeq lists it as uncharacterized. The record is from RefSeq and is a predicted model, not a curated record. The transcript is spliced from 2 exons. Lineage: Eukaryota; Viridiplantae; Streptophyta; Magnoliopsida; Fabales; Fabaceae.